This 185-nucleotide ribosomal RNA is filed under the name Providencia rettgeri. RNAcentral's name for it is "partial 23S ribosomal RNA". It matches the Rfam family "Bacterial large subunit ribosomal RNA", at positions 1 to 186 of the family's 2925-position model. Lineage: Bacteria; Pseudomonadati; Pseudomonadota; Gammaproteobacteria; Enterobacterales; Morganellaceae. The record is from RNAcentral.
GGUUAAGCGACUAAGCGUACACGGUGGAUGCCUAGGCAAUCAGAGGCGAUGAAGGACGUGCUAAUCUGCGAUAAGCGUCGGUAAGGUGAUAUGAACCGUUACAACCGACGAUUUCCGAAUGGGGAAACCCAGUGCAAUUCGUUGCACUAUCGUUUGAUGAAUACAUAGUCAAACGAAGCGAACCG